RNAcentral lists this ribosomal RNA (245 nucleotides) under uncultured bacterium. RNAcentral's name for it is "partial 16S ribosomal RNA". It matches the Rfam family "Bacterial small subunit ribosomal RNA", at positions 524 to 768 of the family's 1533-position model. RNAcentral also lists the same sequence under 1 other name. The record is from RNAcentral.
UACGUAGGGUGCGAGCGUUGUCCGGAUUUAUUGGGCGUAAAGAGCUUGUAGGCGGCUCGUCACGUCGGGUGUGAAAACCCGCGGCUCAACCGCGGGCCUGCACCCGAUACGGGCGGGCUAGAGUUCGGCAGGGGAGACUGGAAUUCCUGGUGUAGCGGUGGAAUGCGCAGAUAUCAGGAGGAACACCGGUGGCGAAGGCGGGUCUCUGGGCCGAUACUGACGCUGAGAAGCGAAAGCGUGGGGAG